This 569-nucleotide ribosomal RNA is filed under the name uncultured bacterium. RNAcentral describes it as "partial 16S ribosomal RNA". It matches the Rfam family "Bacterial small subunit ribosomal RNA", at positions 355 to 1375 of the family's 1533-position model. The record is from RNAcentral.
UGGGGAAUAUUGCACAAUGGGCGAAAGCCUGAUGCAGCGACGCCGCGUGAGGGAUGACGGCCUUCGGGUUGUAAACCUCUUUCAGCAGGGAAGAAGCGAAAGUGACGGUACCUGCAGAAGAAGCGCCGGCUAACUACGUGCCAGCAGCCGCGGUAAUACGUAGGGCGCAAGCGUUGUCCGGAAUUAUUGGGCGUAAAGAGCUCGUAGGCGGUUAGUCGCGUCUGCUGUGAAAACUCGAGGCUCAACCUCGGGCUUGCAGUGGGUACGGGCUGACUAGAGUGCGGUAGGGGUGACUGGAAUUCCUGGUGUAGCGGUGGAAUGCGCAGAUAUCAGGAGGAACACCGAUGGCGAAGGCAGGUCACUGGGCCGCAACUGACGCUGAGGAGCGAAAGCAUGGGGAGCGAACAGGAUUAGAUAGCCCUGGUAGUCCAUGCCGUAAACGUUGGGCACUAGGUGUGGGUCCAUUCCACGGAUUCCGUGCCGCAGCAAAGCGCAUUAAGUGCCCCGCCUGGGGAGUACGGCCGCAAGGCUAAAACUUAAAUGAAUUGACGGGGUCAUAGCUGUUUCCU